UUGUGGAGAAGGACGCCGAAGGUGGGGCUGAUGACUGGGGUGAAGUCGUAACAAGGUAGCCGUACCGGAAGGUGCGGCUGGAUCACCUCCUAACAGGGAGACAAUAAAUUGAUUGUGAUGUCUAAGUUUUUUAUUCUUAGGCCGCAAUCCUGUCACCUUAAGGUCGAUCGGUACCUCAGAUUUUGAAUUAAUUUAUUUAUUAGUUCUUUUAUUUCAGUUCCUAAACUUGUCUAGGUCACACCCAACAAAGGUUUCUCCUGGGCCAUUAGCUCAGGUGGUUAGAGCGCACCCCUGAUAAGGGUGAGGUCCCUGGUUCAAGUCCAGGAUGGCCCAUUCGUUGUUGGGGGUAUAGCUCAGUUGGUAGAGCGCCUGCUUUGCAAGCAGGAUGUCAGCGGUUCGAGUCCGCUUACCUCCACUGAUAACUAUCCUGAUAACUAAAUUUUGGAGAAAAUUUGUAGAUGUGACUUAGAAUUGUCUAUUGAAAAGAACCUAGCUUCUUAUCAUCUUUCAUAUAGUUGAUAACAUGCUGGGCUCCCAUGGAUUUAUUCAUGAGAAUUCAGUAGAACCUUGAAAACUGCAUAGAUUAGAAAGAAUAAAGCAUCUCAUGGAUGCAUAAUUCUGUUUUUAUAACUUAGCCUUUAAACUAAAUUAUAAAUCUAAGGAUUCAUGUUUAAUUCUUGAGUAAAAGCCGAGCACAAUUAAUUUUUUGAUUGUAUUAAGGUCAAGCUACAA
This 732-nucleotide unclassified non-coding RNA is filed under the name uncultured Prochlorococcus sp. RNAcentral describes it as "partial 16S-23S ribosomal RNA intergenic spacer; may also contain 16S ribosomal RNA and 23S ribosomal RNA". The stretch from base 343 to 415 matches the Rfam family "tRNA". Lineage: Bacteria; Bacillati; Cyanobacteriota; Cyanophyceae; Synechococcales; Prochlorococcaceae. The record is from RNAcentral.